Myripristis murdjan (pinecone soldierfish) is the source of this 1311-nucleotide long non-coding RNA. RefSeq lists it as uncharacterized. The transcript is spliced from 3 exons. Lineage: Eukaryota; Metazoa; Chordata; Actinopteri; Holocentriformes; Holocentridae. The record is from RefSeq and is a predicted model, not a curated record.
CACUGUUUAACCUGUUUUUAUGGGCAAGACAUUACAGUGCACUUGGUGUAUGAAGGUAUAUUUCUCAGACCCAGAGUGUGUGGCCCAGUACCGGGAGACCCUCUGGGAUGAGGAGUAUUAUCUCCAUUGUGAAAUGCUCUCCAAACUGCUACUACAAUGUUUCUAGACAUCAGUCACCUGUUACUUUGAAUCACACCUAAAUUGACUGUUGACAUGUAUUCUGCUCUACAAAACCAAACAAAAACUGUAGACAGACCACUCAUUGCUCGUAGUGUUAAAAAAAACUAUAUAUAUGAUAAUAUUCGCUGUGUGACCUUCUCAGCUGGCUGUUUCAAGCCAGUAGUCCGCCACUAGGUUAAAUCAUACCAACACUGCAAUCACACUAAUGUCCUUUUAUUAAUACAAAACAAAAGCAAUCUCAUAAUGCUUGAUUGUCACUUUAACUAACUUUUCCCAGCCUCUUUUUGGAAGAGAGCAGUCUUUUUCUAACUGUAUUGCAGGUCUGCCAAGCCCCUCUGUGACAGCCUGGAUCAGCCACACCCGCACUUCAUCCAUAGAGCUCAGGUUGUCCAUGUACGAAGACGCCUUGCAGGUUUGAAAUGUAAUGUCAAGUUGUACAAAUUAUUGUGUAUACAUGUCACUGCUAAGUCUAGUCCUCACAGCCCCAGUCAGUUGGUCAGAGGAAGGAUGGCAACUUCUCCAGUGGGCACAAAAAUGAAGGACGUGACACGCUCCAGACCAAGAAGACCAAUGGGCAACUGUCAGGAAGACCCCAGCCACCGAAACAUUGAGCAUCUGCAUAGGACAUGAGGACACAGGCACGGCAGCCGAGGAGACUGAAGAUGGCCAGGCAGAUCAAUGGCACCCCUGCUGAGGAAACAAAGCAGCAACAAAUGAAAAAGUUCAGAUACCGCAGAAGACUCAAGAAGAAAACAACCAAAGAAAGGAACAAGAGCUCCACUGAGGACAUGUUAGUUUUGUGGCACAGAUUUCAAUUGGUCCUGUGCACAAUCAUAGUGAGUGGACAUUGUUCCAUCCCCAGUUAGGUUUAAGAGCGGGUUCCCUUUGGAACUCGUUUGGGGGGGGGUGUUAGUGUGGCAUGAACGUGGUUAGAGCAUUUGUCUCGGGAGCACAUCCGAAGCUACAGGUGGGUCACCAUUUUAUGGUUGCUUUACCAGGCUAUCGGGCUACAGUGCAUAAGUACCCGCCACAAGUAGCGCCUGAAGACUAGGGAGGAGCUUAGUUAGAUUUCAGUGUGUUGCUCUUCUACUGUAAAUAAAUGUUGUUCCUCACAAAACAUUUGGUGUUUCA